UGGGGAAUAUUGCACAAUGGAGGGAACUCUGAUGCAGCGACGCCGCGUGAGUGAUGAAGGAAUUCGUUUCGUAAAACUCUGUUCUAUGGGAAGAAAAGGACUGUACCAUAGGAGAAAGCUCCGGCUAAAUACGUGCCAGCAGCCGCGGUAAUACGUAUGGAGCGAGCGUUGUCCGGAAUUAUUGGGCGUAAAGGGUGCGCAGGCGGCUUUACAAGUUGGAUGUGAAAUAUUGUGGCUCAACCACAAACGUGCAUCCAAAACUGCAAAGCUUGAGUUAAGGAGAGGUAAGUGGAAUUCCUGGUGUAGCGGUGGAAUACGUAGAUAUCAGGAGGAAUACCGGUGGCGAAGGCGACUUACUGGACUUAAACUGACGCUCAGGAACGAAAGCGUGGGGAGCAAACAGG
Molecule: ribosomal RNA, 404 nt
Filed under: Fusobacteriota bacterium
Lineage: Bacteria; Fusobacteriati; Fusobacteriota
Description: Fusobacteria bacterium partial 16S ribosomal RNA
Rfam family: Bacterial small subunit ribosomal RNA
Source: RNAcentral